GGGAGCUUGCUCCCUGAUGUUAGCGGCGGACGGGUGAGUAACACGUGGGUAACCUGCCUGUAAGACUGGGAUAACUCCGGGAAACCGGGGCUAAUACCGGAUGGUUGUUUGAACCGCAUGGUUCAGACAUAAAAGGUGGCUUCGGCUACCACUUACAGAUGGACCCGCGGCGCAUUAGCUAGUUGGUGAGGUAACGGCUCACCAAGGCAACGAUGCGUAGCCGACCUGAGAGGGUGAUCGGCCACACUGGGACUGAGACACGGCCCAGACUCCUACGGGAGGCAGCAGUAGGGAAUCUUCCGCAAUGGACGAAAGUCUGACGGAGCAACGCCGCGUGAGUGAUGAAGGUUUUCGGAUCGUAAAGCUCUGUUGUUAGGGAAGAACAAGUGCCGUUCAAAUAGGGCGGCACCUUGACGGUACCUAACCAGAAAGCCACGGCUAACUACGUGCCAGCAGCCGCGGUAAUACGUAGGUGGCAAGCGUUGUCCGGAAUUAUUGGGCGUAAAGGGCUCGCAGGCGGUUUCUUAAGUCUGAUGUGAAAGCCCCCGGCUCAACCGGGGAGGGUCAUUGGAAACUGGGGAACUUGAGUGCAGAAGAGGAGAGUGGAAUUCCACGUGUAGCGGUGAAAUGCGUAGAGAUGUGGAGGAACACCAGUGGCGAAGGCGACUCUCUGGUCUGUAACUGACGCUGAGGAGCGAAAGCGUGGGGAGCGAACAGGAUUAGAUACCCUGGUAGUCCACGCCGUAAACGAUGAGUGCUAAGUGUUAGGGGGUUUCCGCCCCUUAGUGCUGCAGCUAACGCAUUAAGCACUCCGCCUGGGGAGUACGGUCGCAAGACUGAAACUCAAAGGAAUUGACGGGGGCCCGCACAAGCGGUGGAGCAUGUGGUUUAAUUCGAAGCAACGCGAAGAACCUUACCAGGUCUUGACAUCCUCUGACAAUCCUAGAGAUAGGACGUCCCCUUCGGGGGCAGAGUGACAGGUGGUGCAUGGUUGUCGUCAGCUCGUGUCGUGAGAUGUUGGGUUAAGUCCCGCAACGAGCGCAACCCUUGAUCUUAGUUGCCAGCAUUCAGUUGGGCACUCUAAGGUGACUGCCGGUGACAAACCGGAGGAAGGUGGGGAUGACGUCAAAUCAUCAUGCCCCUUAUGACCUGGGCUACACACGUGCUACAAUGGACAGAACAAAGGGCAGCGAAACCGCGAGGUUAAGCCAAUCCCACAAAUCUGUUCUCAGUUCGGAUCGCAGUCUGCAACUCGACUGCGUGAAG
RNAcentral lists this ribosomal RNA (1266 nucleotides) under Bacillus amyloliquefaciens. RNAcentral's name for it is "bacterial SSU rRNA". It matches the Rfam family "Bacterial small subunit ribosomal RNA", at positions 74 to 1325 of the family's 1533-position model. Lineage: Bacteria; Bacillati; Bacillota; Bacilli; Caryophanales; Bacillaceae. The record is from RNAcentral.